AUCCAGAUGACGAGUCCUAAAUAGGACGAAGUGGCAGGGGUCCUGGAU
RNAcentral lists this non-coding RNA (48 nucleotides) under Schistosoma curassoni. The record is from RNAcentral. Lineage: Eukaryota; Metazoa; Platyhelminthes; Trematoda; Strigeidida; Schistosomatidae.